CCUACGGGGGGCAGCAGUGAGGAAUAUUGGUCAAUGGACGAGAGUCUGAACCAGCCAAGUAGCGUGAAGGAUGACUGCCCUAUGGGUUGUAAACUUCUUUUAUAUGGGAAUAAAAUGUUCCACGUGUGGGAUUUUGUAUGUACCAUAUGAAUAAGGAUCGGCUAACUCCGUGCCAGCAGCCGCGGUAAUACGGAGGAUCCGAGCGUUAUCCGGAUUUAUUGGGUUUAAAGGGAGCGUAGGUGGCAUGUUAAGUCAGUUGUGAAAGUUUGCGGCUAAACCGUAAAAUUGCAGUUGAAACUGGCAGUCUUGAGUACAGUAGAGGUGGGCGGAAUGCGUGGUGUAGCGGUGAAAUGCUUAGAUAUCACGAAGAACUCCGAUUGCGAAGGCAGUUCACUGGACUGCAACUGACACUGAGGCUCGAAAGUGUGGGUAUCAAACAGGAUUAGAUACCCUUGUAGUC
This 460-nucleotide ribosomal RNA is filed under the name uncultured bacterium. RNAcentral's name for it is "partial 16S ribosomal RNA". It matches the Rfam family "Bacterial small subunit ribosomal RNA", at positions 338 to 795 of the family's 1533-position model. The record is from RNAcentral.